CCCUUGUACACACCGCCCGUCACACCAUGGGAGUUGUCUGCACCAGAAGUAGGUAGUCUAACCGUAAGGGGGGCGCUUACCACGGUGUGGUCAAUGACUGGGGUG
Molecule: ribosomal RNA, 105 nt
Filed under: uncultured bacterium
Lineage: Bacteria
Description: partial 16S ribosomal RNA
Rfam family: Bacterial small subunit ribosomal RNA
Source: RNAcentral